Molecule: ribosomal RNA, 253 nt
Filed under: uncultured bacterium
Lineage: Bacteria
Description: partial 16S ribosomal RNA
Rfam family: Bacterial small subunit ribosomal RNA
Source: RNAcentral
UACGGAGGGGGCUAGCGUUUUUCGGAAUUACUGGGCGUAAAGCGCGCGUAGGCGGACCAGUAAGUCGGGGGUGAAAGCCCAGGGCUCAACUCUGGAACUGCCUUCGAUACUGCGGGUCUGGAGCAUGAUAGAGGCGAGUGGAAUUCCGAGUGUAGAGGUGAAAUUCGUAGAUAUUAGCAGGAACACCAGUGGCGAAGGCGACUCGCUGGACCAUUGCUGACGCUGAGACGCGAAAGCGUGGGGAGCAAACAGG